This 400-nucleotide ribosomal RNA is filed under the name uncultured bacterium. RNAcentral describes it as "bacterial SSU rRNA". It matches the Rfam family "Bacterial small subunit ribosomal RNA", at positions 301 to 706 of the family's 1533-position model. The record is from RNAcentral.
UGCAUGCCUGCAGGUCGACGAUUGCCUACGGGAGGCAGCAGUGGGGAAUUUUGGACAAUGGGGGCAACCCUGAUCCAGCCAUGCCGCGUGAGUGAAGAAGGCCUUCGGGUUGUAAAGCUCUUUCAGCCGGAAAGAAAUCGCCACUCCUAAUACGAGUGGUGGAUGACGGUACCGGAAGAAGAAGCACCGGCUAACUACGUGCCAGCAGCCGCGGUAAUACGUAGGGUGCGAGCGUUAAUCGGAAUUACUGGGCGUAAAGCGUGCGCAGGCGGUUUUGUAAGACAGGUGUGAAAUCCCCGGGCUUAACCUGGGAACUGCAUUUGUGACUGCAAGGCUAGAGUGUGGCAGAGGGGGGUAGAAUUCCGCGUGUAGCAGUGAAAUGCGUAGAUAUGCGGAGGAA